Molecule: unclassified non-coding RNA, 297 nt
Organism: Oryctolagus cuniculus (rabbit)
Lineage: Eukaryota; Metazoa; Chordata; Mammalia; Lagomorpha; Leporidae
Rfam family: Metazoan signal recognition particle RNA
About the family: The signal recognition particle (SRP) is a universally conserved ribonucleoprotein. It is involved in the co-translational targeting of proteins to membranes.
Source: Ensembl
GCCGGGCGCGGUGGCGCGCGCCUGUAGUCCCAGCUACUCAGGAGGCUGAGGCCGGAGGAUCGCUUGAGUCCAGGAGUUCUGGGCUGUCGUGCGCUGUGCUGAUCAGGCGUCUGCACUAAGUUCGGCAUCAAUAUGGUGACCUCCCAGGAGCGGGGGACCACCACAUUGCCUAAGGAGGGGUGAACCGGCCCAGGUCGGAAAUAAAAGAUUUUGAAUUUUUAUUUCAUUUUUAAUACAGAAAUGCAGAUGACUUCAUAGUGUAGCACUCAACAAGGAUUAGGGUACUGUGGCAGUCAU